RNAcentral lists this ribosomal RNA (473 nucleotides) under Pseudomonas putida. RNAcentral's name for it is "partial 16S ribosomal RNA". It matches the Rfam family "Bacterial small subunit ribosomal RNA", at positions 926 to 1401 of the family's 1533-position model. Lineage: Bacteria; Pseudomonadati; Pseudomonadota; Gammaproteobacteria; Pseudomonadales; Pseudomonadaceae. The record is from RNAcentral.
CCCCGAUCGGAGCAUGUGGUUUAAUUCGAAGCAACGCGAGAACCUUACCUGGUCUUGACAUCCACAGAACUUUCCAGAGAUGGCUUGGUGCCUUCGGGAACUGUGAGACAGGUGCUGCAUGGCUGUCGUCAGCUCGUGUCGUGAGAUGUUGGGUUAAGUCCCGCAACGAGCGCAACCCUUGUCCUUAGUUGCCAGCACUUUGUGGGGGGCUCUCUAGGGAAACGGCCGGGAACAACCGGAAGAAGGGGGGGAAUAACUUCAAUUCUUUUGGCCCUUUACACCCGGGGUUACACCCGUGUUACAUGGCAUAAAACAAGGGGUUGCCACCCCCCGGGGUGGACCUACCCUCAAAAAUCUGUUCUAAUCCGGAAUCGAAUUCGCAACCUCACCCGCGUAAAUCGGAAAUCUCUUAAAUCGGGAAUCAAAAUGCCGCGGUAAAUACUUUCCCGGCCUUUGCACCCCCCCCCCUCAAA